UGCCAGCAGCCGCGGUAAUACGAAGGUGGCAACCGUUGUUCGGAAUUACUGGGCAUAAAGAGCACGUAGGCGGACUACUAAGUCGGGUGUGAAAUCCCUCGGCCCAACCGAGGAACUGCGUCUGAUACUGAAAGGCUUGAGGAUCGGAGGGGUGUGUGGAAUACCUGGUGGAGCGGUGAAAUGCGUUGAUAUCAGGUGGAACACCGGAGGCGAAGGCGACACACUGGUCGAUCACUGACGCUGAGAUGCGAAAGCAUGGGGAGCGAACGGGAUUAGAUA
RNAcentral lists this ribosomal RNA (279 nucleotides) under uncultured bacterium. RNAcentral describes it as "partial 16S ribosomal RNA". It matches the Rfam family "Bacterial small subunit ribosomal RNA", at positions 506 to 784 of the family's 1533-position model. The record is from RNAcentral.